AAGUCGUAACAAGGUUUCCGUAGGUGAACCUGCGGAAGGAUCAUUACCUGGCCUUGGGCCGCUUGUGGUGGCACGUCGCGCGCGACGUUGCCGCCUCGAGUGCUUAGCCCUCGAUUAUUACCUUUGACUACGCGUACCCAUGUUGCUUCCUCGGCAGGUUUCCUGCCGAUUGGAACUUUCUUAACCCCUUUGCAGUAGCAUCAACCUUCUGAAAAGACCAAAAAAAAUCAUUUACAACUUUCAACAAUGGAUCUCUUGGUUCUG
Molecule: unclassified non-coding RNA, 264 nt
Filed under: Lentithecium pseudoclioninum
Lineage: Eukaryota; Fungi; Ascomycota; Dothideomycetes; Pleosporales; Lentitheciaceae
Description: partial internal transcribed spacer region
Rfam family: Eukaryotic small subunit ribosomal RNA (bases 1-46)
Source: RNAcentral